CAGCCGCCGCGGUAAUACGUAGGUGGCGAGCGUUGUCCGGAAUCAUUGGGCGUAGAGGGAGCGCAGGCGGGCAUGUAAGUCUUUCUUAAAAGUUCGGGGCUCAACCCCGUGAUGGGAGAGAAACUACAUGUCUUGAGUACAGGAGAGGAAAGCGGAAUUCCCAGUGUAGCGGUGAAAUGCGUAGAUAUUGGGAGGAACACCAGUGGCGAAGGCGGCUUUCUGGACUGCAACUGACGCUGAGGCUCGAGAGCCAGGGGAGCGAACGGGAUUAGAUACCCGAGUAGUCCCUGUCUCUUAUACC
This 301-nucleotide ribosomal RNA is filed under the name uncultured bacterium. Its description in RNAcentral is "partial 16S ribosomal RNA". It matches the Rfam family "Bacterial small subunit ribosomal RNA", at positions 509 to 808 of the family's 1533-position model. The record is from RNAcentral.